This 253-nucleotide ribosomal RNA is filed under the name uncultured bacterium. Its description in RNAcentral is "partial 16S ribosomal RNA". It matches the Rfam family "Bacterial small subunit ribosomal RNA", at positions 524 to 776 of the family's 1533-position model. The record is from RNAcentral.
UACAGAGACUGCAAGCGUUAUUCGGAUUCACUGGGCGUAAAGGGCGCGUAGGCGGCCUUCUAAGUCGAACGUGAAAUCCCUGGGCUCAACCCAGGAACUGCGUCCGAUACUGGGAGGCUUGAAUCCGGGAGAGGGAUGUGGAAUUCCAGGUGUAGCGGUGAAAUGCGUAGAUAUCUGGAGGAACACCGGUGGCGAAGGCGGCAUCCUGGACUGGUACUGACGCUCAGGAGCGAAAGCGUGGGGAGCGAUCCGG